CCUACGGGAGGCAGCAGUGAGGAAUAUUGGUCCAUGGGCGGGAGCCUGAACCAGCCAAGCCGCGUGAAGGAAGAAGGCGCCAGGCGUCGUAAACUUCUUUUGUCGGGGAACAAGGGCGCCACGCGUGGCGUUGUGAGUGUACCCGAAGAAAAAGCAUCGGCUAACUCCGUGCCAGCAGCCGCGGUAAUACGGGGGAUGCGAGCGUUAUCCGGAUUUAUUGGGGUUAAAGGGGGCGUAGGCGGUCCGGAAAGGCAGCGGUAAAAGGCCGGGGGUACAACCCGGCGAGCCGUUGAAAAUGUCGGACUAGAGACGGCGAGACGUACGCGGAAUGCGCGGUGUAGCGGUGAAAUGCAUAGAUAUCGCGCAGAACUCCGAUUGCGAAGGCAGCGUACCGGCGCCGGACUGACGCUGAGGCACGAAAGCGUGGGUAUCGAACAGGAUUAGAUACCCGUGUAGUC
Molecule: ribosomal RNA, 458 nt
Filed under: uncultured bacterium
Lineage: Bacteria
Description: partial 16S ribosomal RNA
Rfam family: Bacterial small subunit ribosomal RNA
Source: RNAcentral